UGCAUACUUGACAUUCAUCUCCGACCUCCAAUUUCGAAAACUAACCGCACGCUGCUUCAUUGUAUAUGCCUUCACUAAAUCUUCUGGCACAUUCCUAGAAAACUGGAACCUUGUCUUAAUUUUAUCCCAAAUUUUGAUCUUGUGAUUAUUCGACACACCGGACCAGUUCUUAACUGUGAUAUCAAGAAAGUCCCUCACACAGAAACCAAUUGUGUUUUUGUAUUUGGGUAGGGCCUCCUCUGGAGCUAGGGGCUGUCUGGUAGGGCUCACAUCUGUGAUGGCAUAUGUGUCAUCUGGAAAUUGGUUCAACCCUCUCUCGCCUUAUUUCAAACCUAGCCGCUUCCUUUUCCUAGACUGACAUGGCCUCUCACGGCUCGUCGUUGCGGUCGUCGGUUCCGGUCCGUCUUCAUGUGCCACUUCCUCCUGAGACAUCAUCUCUCUAAACUGAGACAUUGCCUCCUGAGUAUAGACAUGUGAAUCAUGGGCGUGUUUAUAUGUAGAAACUAUGAAUAGAAAUUAUUUAAUUACAUAAAAUCGUGAAUGUCUCUAAUUUACCUCAUCGACUUCUAGAUUGUAAUCGGGGUCACGUGCCAAUUCACGACGGGUCUUCCUCACUUCUAGAGGCUCUAUGUCGUCGCUAGCUUCUUGUUCGUAGGACGAUUCUAAUGCUUCGCCCGUUUUUACUUGUUUCGUGACCUCACGAUCUUGUUUCAUAGGGUCGGAUGACCCUUCAACUUGUUCCGUGGGUUGGGACUGCAGUGCUUCGUCCUUGUGCAGAGAACUCAUCGCAGAAAUCCAUGUAAUUUAUGCAUAAAAUUAAAUCUAUGUAUCAUGGGGUAUAUACACUAAUAUAUCAUACACUAACAUAUAAACUAAUAUAUAUACUAACAUAUAUUAUAAAGCAUACACUAACAUAUAUUAUAAAGCAUACACUAACAUAUAUAAUAAAGCAUAAAAUUAAAUUUACAUAUUCAAUUUACAUACACUAAUACACUAACAUAUAUUAUAAAGUGUACACUAACAUAAAUAAUAAUAUUUAUUGAUUCCUAUACAUACAAAAUAAUAAUAUUUAUAGAUUCAAUCACAUGCGCAAAGUCGAGGUCUUACAAAAAAGAUAGCCAUAAAUUAAUUAAAUACAUGCAUAUAAUAUUUACAUACAAAGGAUUAAAGACAUAAUAAUUAAUUAAAUUAUGUUAGCAUUAUAUAUAAAGGAUAGGCACAAAUUCUCACUUCUCCCUCACUGAGAAUAUAUAUUAUUAGUAAUAUAAUUAAUAAUAAUAUAAUUAAUUAUGUGAGCAUUAUAUAAUUAAUAAUUAUUAUUAUUUAUAUACAAAGAGAUAAAAAAGACAUAAUAAUUAAUUUAAUAUUAAUAAUAAUAUUUAUUAAUUUCCAUAUAUACAUACAUCAUAUAUAUCUGAAUAAUUGAAGUUAAAAAAAGAAAAAAAACUCAGUUCUCACUUCUCCCUCAGUGGACCGGCUUUGAGCCGGCCCACUAUGUCCCCUCUGACAAGUGGGGCCCCUGUGUCGGGGUUGUCCCCUACCUUGGGCCAGCGCUCUCAGGCUGGCCGCCUCUCUCCUCCACGACCGGCCGCCACCACCGCAAAACCCUAGCCGCUACGCCGCCAUUCGCACCCCCGCAGCAGCGCCCGCCAAACCCUAGCCGCCGCGCCGCACACAAAGCCACCGCCGCCGCACAUAAAACCGCCGCCGCCGAUAGAGGACGUCUUACCACGUGGGGCGUUGAAGGGCUCGGCGUAGACGAAGAAGACGACGCGUCGGACGGCGGCGCCUCUCCGAUGACCUUGGUGCGGCGGAGACAAAGACGAAAUCCGGCAGCCUGACGGCGUGUUUUGAAAAACUGGCCCGCCUUGUGACUUAGA
Molecule: long non-coding RNA, 1880 nt
Filed under: Sorghum bicolor (sorghum)
Lineage: Eukaryota; Viridiplantae; Streptophyta; Magnoliopsida; Poales; Poaceae
Description: long non-coding RNA (SBIC_LNC004239)
Source: RNAcentral